This 278-nucleotide ribosomal RNA is filed under the name uncultured Methanomicrobiales archaeon. RNAcentral's name for it is "partial 16S ribosomal RNA". It matches the Rfam family "Archaeal small subunit ribosomal RNA", at positions 1064 to 1338 of the family's 1478-position model. Lineage: Archaea; Methanobacteriati; Methanobacteriota; Methanomicrobia; Methanomicrobiales. The record is from RNAcentral.
UUGCCAGCUCGUCCUCCGGGGAUGGUGGGGACGACUGUUGGGACCGCCUCUGCUAAAGAGGAGGAAGGGAAUGGGCAACGGUAGGUCAGCAUGCCCCGAAUUAUCUGGGCUACACGCGGGCUACAAUGGGUGGGACAAUGGGUAUCGACACCGAAAGGUGAAGGCAAUCUCCUAAACCCAUCCGUAGUUCGGAUUGUGGGCUGCAACUCGCCCACAUGAAGCUGGAAUCUGUAGUAAUCGUGUCUCAAAAUGGCACGGUGAAUAUGUCCCUGCUCCUU